Molecule: transfer RNA, 64 nt
Filed under: Cleroidea sp. 5 KM-2017
Lineage: Eukaryota; Metazoa; Arthropoda; Insecta; Coleoptera
Description: tRNA-Tyr
Rfam family: tRNA
About the family: Transfer RNA (tRNA) molecules are approximately 80 nucleotides in length.
Source: RNAcentral
GGCGGAGUGGCCGAGGCGAAGGCGGUAAAUUGUAAAUUUACUUACGAAUUCUAUUCCUCCACCA